UCCCUACUGGCUCAGAGGGUAGAAAAUCUGCCUGCAGUGCAGGAGAUCCAGGUUCGAUCCCAGGGUCGGGAA
Molecule: transfer RNA, 72 nt
Filed under: Bos taurus (domestic cattle)
Lineage: Eukaryota; Metazoa; Chordata; Mammalia; Artiodactyla; Bovidae
Also listed under: 5 other names
Rfam family: tRNA
About the family: Transfer RNA (tRNA) molecules are approximately 80 nucleotides in length. Their secondary structure includes four short double-helical elements and three loops (D, anti-codon, and T loops).
Source: Rfam by way of RNAcentral